RNAcentral lists this long non-coding RNA (14520 nucleotides) under Gossypium raimondii (Peruvian cotton). RNAcentral describes it as "long non-coding RNA (GRAI_LNC007217)". Lineage: Eukaryota; Viridiplantae; Streptophyta; Magnoliopsida; Malvales; Malvaceae. The record is from RNAcentral.
CUCCAAACACAAGCCAAGGACCAGGCCAGGCUUCAAUAUUUGUCGAGCCUGGUGGCUAAGAAAUCUGUGGUGCCGAUAGCUUCUGGCAGGCAGAUUGUGCAAAGUCCCACUUAUAUCGUGAGGGCCAACAUUGGAACCCCACCUCAAACCUUGCUUAUGGCCAUGGAUACUAGCAAUGAUGCCGCUUGGAUACCUUGCACUGGCUGCCUUGGCUGCUCUUCUACUGUCUUUGACAAUGCUAAAUCCACCACUUUCCAGUCCCUCGGCUGCCAAGCUCCUCAAUGCAAGCAGGUAACCUCCCAACCUUUCAUUUCUCCGCAACUUCCUAUGAAUGCCAAAACCCUAUCCAUCUUAAGAUUUUACACAGAUUUGCUCCAAACGUGGAUGUUAUUCUUGUAAAGUUUCAGCAGCCAAAGGGUGCAGGAAUAGGCUAAAAUAUUAUUUUUAUUUCCACAUAUUAUUCAAAAAAUCAAUUAAUAUUUAAAAUUUUAAAUUUGAAAAAUAUAAAAAUUAAGAUUUUAACUAAUAAGAUUUUAUUAGUACCAUUUAGAUCUAGAGUAAAAUUAAAAAAAAAUACAUUAAAAUUAAAUAAUUCAAACAAAUAUAUGAAUUAAAUUUAAUUAAAAUAAAAUAUAAAAAUUAAAUUACUUUCAAUUCUCAAUCGGAAAUAAUUUAUUGGCUUAAUACUUAUUAAAUGUAAAUAUUUAAUAUUGAUUUUUUUAAUAUGUUUUAGCUGUUGAAUUAGCUUUUGACUGAUUUAAUGUUUAUUUGACUUAUUAUUCACCACUGAUUUCGGAUCCAAUCUGAUUUUUAUCCUUAGCUUUAAUAAAUGAUUGAUGAAACAGAAUUUGGACAAGACAAACCCAACAUCUGCACCACUUUGAUCCAUUGCCAAUCUAUCAACUUUCCAUGUACCUUGUCAAUCUAAUAUCUUAAAAGCACUUGCAUGACAUGAUGGAUUCAGGUACAAAAUCCCAGCUGCGAUGGCAGUGGCAACACUUGCAUAUUCAACAUGACCUACGGGGGUUCAACCAUUGCAGCAAACCUCUCACAGGACACAUUCACCUUAGCCAACGACUCUGUCUCGAGCUACACUUUCGGCUGCCUGCAAAAGACAACCGGCAACUCGGUGCCACCACAAGGUCUAUUGGGGCUCGGCCGAGGUCCAUUAUCCCUUCUAUCUCAGACCCAAGACCUGUACCAAGCCACAUUUUCAUACUGUUUGCCUAAUUUUAGGUCCGCCAACUUUUCUGGGUCAUUGAGACUUGGGCCAGUGGGGCAGCCAGUGAGGAUCAAAUACACCCCAUUACUGAAGAACCCGAGGAGACCAUCCCUUUACUUUGUGAAUUUGAUUGGAAUUAGGGUUGGAAACAAAGUUGUUGAUAUCCCACCAUCUGCCAUUGCUUUCAAUCCUACCACCGGUGCUGGCACCAUUAUUGAUUCUGGUAAUUUUUGCCUUUUAUUCUAUCAAAAUAUUUGCUUUUUUUAAAAAAGAAAAUUAUUUAAUUUUUAUGUGAUGCAAAAUUAUAAAAAAUAAUAUAAUAUAUAAUAUAAUUAAAAUAUAUGUUUAUUAAAUUAAUUCAAACUUUAAAUGUUGAAUUUUUUAAAGCUCUUUUUUGUGUUAGGCAUAAUUCCAAUCUUAUCAGUUGUCUUUAAAGUUGAGAACAUAAUAAUGACAACAUGCUGCAUUAUCGUAUUCCAAUUGCAACUGUUGAAUAUAGUGUACUUACUUUUGAUUUUUUUUUUAAAAAUAUUUUCAUUAAAUGUUUCAUGAAAUUUAACUAAAAAAAGCGUAAUUUAAAAUAUCACAAUAAUUUUGGCAUUUAAAAUUUCAGGUACCGUUUUCACCCGGCUAGUUGAACCAGCCUAUGUAGCCGUCCGAGACGAGUUUCGAAGACGAGUUAAGGUGGCCAACGUAACAUCUCUUGGCGGUUUCGACACAUGUUACACAGUCCCGAUUGUGGCUCCGACGAUAACGUUCAUGUUCACCAGCAUGAACGUGACACUGCCACAAGACAACCUGUUAAUCCACAGCACAGCAGGCAGCAUCACAUGUUUGGCGAUGGCAUCGGCACCGGAUAAUGUGAAUUCUGUGCUGAAUGUGAUAGCCAAUAUGCAGCAACAGAACCAUAGGAUCCUUUUCGAUGUGCCAAAUUCCAGGUUGGGCGUUGCCCGUGAGCUCUGCACCUAAAUUCUAGCUUUGUUCCCUAAUUUAUUUAUCCCUGUUUUCGUGUAUUUUAUUGUGUGACCAUCGUAUUUAAAGUAUUUAAUAUUUAUGUAAACUUAAAUGUAUUAAUAAUUUGCAACAUUAAAUUUUGAUAUUUGGUAUAUUUGUGUUGAAUUUUUGUACAACAUAUUUAUUACUAAAAUCUAAGUUUAUUUUAUCAACAAGUGGUUGGAAGAAGUGAGAGUGAACUUCUUCUUGAAAUAUUUAAAUCAAGUUUCAAUAUUGGAAUUGACAUUAUAUGGAGGGUUUUACCAAAAUACCACUUCCGGCCUGAACAAUAUUAAACUCAAACAAUAAAAUAGAUGAUAGCACUUGUGCGUAUAAAAAAAAAUGUAAAUCAAUUUUUUGCUUUUAAAAAGAAAAAUUCAAAAUCAUGGGCUCUGGCAUAUUUAUUCGAGAGCUAAAUUAGUUCAAGUUUAUUCAGCUCAAUUUGUAGAGGUGAAUUUAGGGGGGCUGGGCCCGACUUCCCUAAAUUUUUAAAAUAAUUAUUAAGUCCUCAGGUUUUAAAAUUUUUAUUUUGAUAUUAUAAUUAGUAUUUUUAGAAAAAGAUAAAUUUGUGUUUGGUUCCCCAAAGUUUUUUUUUAAAUUUGAAUCCUUUAAUAGAAUUUAUAAUUUUUUUAUUAUAAAGUUAGUAACAUUUUUAGUUUAAUUUGGUAAACGAAUACAAUUUAGUAUCUAAAUAUUAAUCUGAUAAAAAUAAAGUUUAAUAAUUGCAAUAACUAAAUAUAAAUGUAUUUAAAUAUUAAUUAAGUAAAAAAAAAUUAAAUAAUCAUAAUAUCUAAUACAAAUUGAGCAUUUAACUCUUUUUUUUUUCUAAAUUUUGAUAAUAAAAAUUAUCUCGAAUUUAAAAAUAGGCUUAGCCUGUACUUUGAACAUGUAUAUUUUAUAAAAAUACCCCGAUCCCCUCUUAUUAACAAUUCUGACUUCAUCUCUGUCAACUUGAAUUAAAAUUUUAAUAUUAAAAUUAAUAAUUUUAUUUGAAUUGAUUGUAUAAAUAUAUAAACAUGCUUUCAAUAUAUUAUUAUUAUAAAGUAGUGAAAUGGGCAUUUUAAGAUUCAAGCCUGGUUGGAAUAGGUUUAGGUAAAAUUUUCAAAAAAUUGAGCUAUGGGCUGGCUGGAUUGAAAAUGUCCAUAGGUUAGAUCUAACUCAUGUAUAAUAUCAAUGUUGUAAACUUAACUCUAUUCAAGAUAUAAGCUUUGAAUUUUUCUAAAUCUAACUCUAUUCAAGCACGUCACUUUUUAUAAUUUUUUAAAUAUAAAUUAUUAAUUUAAUAUAAUUUUAAUAUUUAUAUUAAAGUAUUUUAUAUUGUUAGAUUUUUUUUGAUUUUAACUAAACUUGAAUACAAAUAAAUAAAAAGAUUUAAACAUAAAUGUAUGGGACAUAAAAUAAUGUAGAGGAAAUGAGAAAUUCGGAUCUCACGGGUGUCACUGCUGCUGAAGGGUGUUAUAGGAUCAUACAUUUCCCAAAUCCCAAACUGCAUGCAAAAGAGGAGGUGAAAAUAAAUAAAAAUUUUCAGAUAUUAGUUACACUAAUCUAUGAAACUCGGAUGAAUAUCAUAUAUGAAUAUAUACAAGGUUAUAAUUUAUUUAAAAAUUCAUAUUUCGUAACUGUAUUUCGAAUGUGUUGAAGAAUUGGAGUAAUAUUAAUAUACCUUGGACUUGUAUCACUUUUACUCCUCUGAAUCACUUUCUUCUUCUUCCUCCGUAUCAUAGAUGAAUCUAUUAUCAAUCUGAACAAAAGGGAUGCGAGCAAUGUUGGACCAGUCUUUCCCUUCAUCCCUUCUGCAACUUUCUUUUAACAAUGGACAGUCAUGGAUAUAUAAUUCCAACAAUGACAUAAGCAUGUCUCUUCCGGGCAAACAUUUCAGCUUUGGAAGUUUAACAAUGGACAGACAUUCAAGGAAGGGAAGGUUUUGAAAGCCCUUGGAAGACAGGGUUUCGACAUUUGGGAAAUCGCUGAUGGCGAGUUUGCUUAGAGAACAAGGCAACAUCAUGCCUUUCCCUUCAUGUGGAAACAUUACCCCAUCUGAAUAUCCUCCAUGGAUUGCAAGUCUUUUAAGAGAAGUGAGCUUAUGGAAUCCCCAAUGGAUCAGUCCUUCAAGAAUUUCAGGUUUUGAGAUUGUAAGCGAAGUCAAGUUUGUAGGGAAACCUUCUUCAGGAAAGGUUAAUAAACAUGGACAGUUUGAUAUCUCCAGUUCCUGAAGAUAUGUGAGGCAAUGCAGGCCAUUUGGUAGAGCUUGGAGUAUACGGCACCAGCUUAGAUGCAGCACAUGUAGGCCGGUUGAGGGCAACCUGGAAACCGAAACCAGAUUCCGAAAGCAUUCGAUAUGCAGUUGCUGCAGAUAGCUGAGCUUGUCCAAUCCAUCUGGCAGAUACUGAAUUUUUUCACACCUGGCAAUAAAAAUGGACUCAAGGCAAGUGUUGUUGUGAACUGAAUCUGCAAUGGAUUCCAGCAUUUGGCAAGUGUCUAUCCGCAGGUGUUUAAGCCCCACAGGUAAGUAGCCACUUGAUGAUAAAUAGGCCAAUUUUGGACAACUCCAUAUCUUCAGAUGUUGAAGCUUAACAGGUAAAUCACCUGUUGAUGAUAAAGAUGCUAGAGAACGGCAUCGUUCAAUUAUCAGAUGGCUAAGUAAAGAUCUUCUGCUGAUGUUCAUACCAUCUUCAUCUAAUAAACACUUCAAAUUAUCACAAUUUUUUACCACCAACCCUUUUAGCGUAAGAGGCAAGUUGUCGUGUGAAAAUGACAACAGUUUCGGGCAUUUUACAAUCUCUAGCUCCCUAAGGGAUGUAAGAUUGUACAUAGUUGCAGAUAACUUCUCUAAUUUUUCACAAUGCUUGAUUCUUAGAUGUUCAAGACUGCAAAGUGUUUCCAUUUGUCGCACCUCUUCUUUUUGCCCUCCUAUGGAUAUCCCCAUUGAAACAAGUUGAGAACAGUUCAAGAUUUCCAAAUUCCGGAGGAAACUUGAUUGUGCUAACCAUCCUGCUCCAUUGUGGCACAAGGAAGGAAGCUCUCUACAACCACCGACCCGAAGAAACUCGGUUUGUGAUAAGCCUAACAUCAACCCUUUUAAACAAGAAAACCAUGUGAUAUUUGAGAGAGUGGCCUUCUUGAUUGAGCAAAGGUCAAGAGAGCCAUCAUGUCUCACUCUUUUGCAGCCAACAAUUUCUAUUUCAUACAACCUGGAAUGCUUUGGAACUGAAACUUCCAAUAGUUGACAGUCAUGGAUCACAAGCUUUUCCAAGCAAGGAAGAUAGUUUGGUAAGCUCCCCAACAGUUUGGGGCAUUUCUUGACAGAGAGAUCACGGAGGCAAUUGAAGUUUCCGGUUUUCUCAUCGGCUUGGUAUGUAUUCCACUCCUUCAACUCUGGCAUUUCUUCGAAACGAAGAAUCUCUAAUGCCGGAAAUGCAUUUGAGCAAUUUUCUCCAUAGAACUCAACACCUAUCUUAUUGACAUAAUCCAUUCCUUUGACAUAAAGGGCCUUCAAAAACGGCAGUUGUCCAAGUGCUGGUAAUGAAGUACACUUGUGGCAAUGUUCAAACUCUAAGAACAUUAAAUUUUUUAAUGAACAAUCUCUGACCCAUGUCGGGAAUGUCUGACCACCAUAACACUUGAUGGAGAGUUUCUUAAGUUUCUUAUGCGGUUGAAGUAAGCUCAACACUUCUUUUUCGACUCCUGCGUUUUGUAAAUCACCUUUCACGUCCGCACUCCACUUCAAUUCUAGAUCAUCAAGGCUGAACUUACUGAACAACAUAGCCUCCGUUGCAUCUUGAGCAUUGACAAGAUGUUCCAAUCCUGAGAUAGAAAGUUGACCUUUGAGAUAAGAUAAAUUCUUCAGCUCCCUUAUCUGAUAUCCAACACCUUGGCCUAUAACAAAGUUGGACAAUGACUGGAGACCAAUCAAUUCACCGAUUCCAAACGGCAUCCGUUCAAUUGAAUUUGCAUCAGUAAUAUCAAGAUGCUGUAGAUUGGCUAAAAGUCUCAAAUCAGAUGGUAAGUGUUUAAGGCGAUCGCAGCCUCUCAACAACAAUGUCUGUAGGUUAAAGAGUGUACAUAUAGAUUCAGGGAGGCUUUUGAUUUUAGUGUAAGAGAAGUUAAGGUAGCGGAUAUGUGUCAGAUCACCAAUUGAAUCUGGUAGCUUGGUGAGGUAGUACCCUUCGAGAGAAAGCACUCUUAAGCGUCUCAAUCUCGGCAACAAAUCGAUAAGAACACUGUUAGAUAGGUAGCAGUCUCCAUCAUUUGGCAACAUAAAUGACAUAAAUGUUCGUAAAUGCUCUGCAUCACCGACUGUAUGGAACCUUUUGAAUCCAUUAUACCUACUUCUGAUGAAGGAUGAGUAUCGAGCACAGCUCAAAAUUUUCUCAUCACCCUCUAGUCUAAAGCAUAUGUCUCCUGCAACCGAUCGAGCUAGAUCAUUGAUGAGGUCAUGCAUCAUGAACUGAGAUUUAUUCCUGCUACAUCUUUGAAAGAAAGACCUUGACACAAGAUCUUGAAAGUACAUGCUACCUAGUUUUUUGAUUUGCAGCCUUUUAGUGUUUACUUGUUGCAACAUUCCUUCUGCCAUCCAUAACAGCACUACUUCCUCCUCUCGGAACUCAUAGUCUUUAGGGAUAAUUGAGCAAUACGAAAAACAUUGUUUUAGAUGUUGUGGAAGGUGAUAGUAGCUCAGCCUUAGAGCUGGAAUUAUGCCACUUUGCUCUUCUGAUGAAUUCCAUAUCUCAUUCUCCAAUACAUCUUUCCAUGCAUCUGGAUCAACACGAGUUCGAAGCAGGCCUCCGAUUGUUUUAGCUGCUAAGGGCAAGCCUUUACACUUCUUCACAAUCUGUUCUCCAAGUUCUUUCAAGUCCAAAUGACCACUGAAAUCUUUGGCUCCUAUGGAAUGUUGAGCUAAAAUGAACAAACAAUCAUCAUUUGACAGUUCUUUCAGUGAGUAAUCCGGAACCGUUUUCAUAACUGAUGAGACGUUCUGGUUUCGCGUUGUCACAAGAAUCUUGCUUCUCGAAUCCCCUACUUCGAAAGGAGAUCGAAGGAUGGUCCAAUCAUUGUAACUCAUAUUCCAAAUAUCAUCCAAAACAAGCAGAAAUUUCUUUUUGGACAGCUUCUCCUUCAAUUUGACUUGAAGCAAAUUCAGAUUAUUUACAUCAUUGCAAGAUGCAUCACAAGUGACCGACUGCAAAAUCGAUUUUGUUAUCCUAACGAUAUUGAAAUCUUCAGAAACACACACCCAUGCUUUGACGUCGAAAAGAUCUUGGACCCUAUUAUCAUUGUAAACUAGUUGAGCAAGAGUUGUCUUACCAAUUCCUCCAAUGCCAACAAUGGGGACGACAGAAACUUGAACAUCAGUAUCACCAUCCAUUAAAAGCAAAUCAAUCACUACAUUUUUAUCAUAUUCUCUACCAUAAACAAGAGCUUCAUUCACCAAAGAACUUGUUGGUGGUCUUUCAACUCUCUUAGGCCUACCAACAUCGAACUCUCUUAAUUGCAACUCAUUUUUCCAAGUGACCAAAUCAUCCAAUCUAGAACUAAUGGCUUUAAUCUUGUUCAUCAUCUUAUAUCUAAACAAGAAAGCAUUCGGACCAAAACUUGCAGUGAAGCUAUGAAUGAUCUUCCUUACCUUACUUCGGUGCGCUUGUUGAUCUUUCGUUAACUUGUUACGAAGAGCUUCUGUAGCAAACUCGUCCAAGAUGUCGUCGACAUCGAAAGCCAAGUCUCGGAGCUUGGACAACCACAUCUUCACAUGCUGGUCCUUCAAUUGCUUCUCCUCUGCAUCAGCAAGCACUGCAUGGACAGUCCUCAGUACUGUCUCCAGCUUGUUAAGUUCCUUUUGAACCUCUUUUUCAGUGGCGAAGUGGAGGGUAUCAGGAGAGGUUAAGUUGGCAAACAAGGCCUCAAAGAAAGAGGAUAUGGCAAUUUCUCCAGAGAAGUACAUGGCUCAACCUUGAGCAGCACUGAGAUGGGAAUUGAUUGAUAAUUCAACAGUAAGGGGUUGGAUUAAAAGUGUGAAGGGACUUAAGACAGCUAGAAAUCCUGUCAUUUUCUUUUGAGUUUUCUAUAAUACAAAUAUGGAUGGAUGGACCCCCAGUGUUUGAAAGCAAGGGUAAAAAUUGUCAAAGAAUCAAAACUGUGUUGACUUUAGGGAUGAGGAUGCUUCCGCGUAGUAAUGAAUGACCAAAUAAUUUCAAACCAAUUCGAUAGUAACAUUUUGUUACUUUUAAGCAAUUUUUCUCUGGUGACACCAAUGUCAUAUCCUACGCCCAAUACACAAGUCAAUUAUGAUCCAUCUUUUUGUUUUUAACAAAUUUAAAAUUUAAUUCUUUUUAUUUUUUUAAAAUUAGGUCCAAUUAUUAAUGUUUUAAAUUUCUUUUAGUUAAUUUUAUUGAUGUAACGUUUUAAAAUAAAAAAAAGUUACUCACUUGAUCAUAAUGUAAUUAAAAAAGGCAUUGUAAUGUCAGCAACCUUUUAGCCUAGUGAUAAGAGCAUCAUAUUGUAGGCAUAAAAUAAGGGGCUGUGCUAUGGUGUUGCCCCUUUCUAGCUGCUGUUAUAUCUGCUGCCUUGAAGCUCGGAAGUCGCCACCGUCGUCUCCAACUGCCGCUGCCGGCGUCUAGUUCAGGUGAGGCAGUUGCUGCCGUUUUAUUUUUAACCAACUUUUUGUUUGUUUGUUUGCGUUGUAAAAUGUUAACAAAGUUAAGCUGUUUGCUAAUGUAUUUUGACUUCUCCUUUAUGGCUUUAUGUGCUUAUUUUUUUAUGGGAGAGAUGGGGCUAUUUAUUGUAUCCAUUUCCAAUUGGUUUUUCCCAUUUCUAUUAUUUUAUUUUUAUUUUUUAAAAUUUUCCCAUAUUUUACUUAUUUUUUAAAAUUUUAUUUAUUUUAAUAUUUAGACUAGCCAAUUCAGUAGUUAAAUUGACCAAAACGAUUAAACUGAAAACCGGUGAUAUGAACGAUUAUAAAUAGUACAAUCUCAUGAUUUUAUUCAAAGAUUAAGUGAAUAUGUACAACUAACCCUAUAUUAUAACAUUUUACUAUAACAACUAAAUUUAUUGUAGAACUAAUUUUUAUGUUUUGUUGUUACCUUUUAUACCACAUUUUCAUAUAUAACAACAAUAUUCAUAAAGUACUAAAUUAAUUAUCUAUAAAAGUCUUAUGUCUCAAAUUUUAAUUAUAUUCUUAAGUGAAAUGAAAAUAAUGAAUUUUAGUUAAAUAUUAUUUCACUUAAUACUUAUUCAUUUUGGCACUGGUCUAUUUUGAUCAAUUUGACUCGUGUGUUUUUAUUUUGUAUAUCCCAUUACUCUAAUUUGAUUUUUCGUUAAAAAAAUUAAACCAACCAUAAUGUGUCAAAAAAAUUACUUAAAAAUUAAUAACAGAAAAUUCAAAUUAUUAAAAUAAAAAUUAUAAAAGUCCAAUUUUUUUUUAGAAAAUUAUAAAAACUAAAAAACUAUAAUUUAUUUUUGAAAAUUAUAAAAAUUAUAAGUAUGCAAAAACAAAAAACAGAUUUCAUAACAUUUUAAAAUUUUGUUUGUUUGGAAUUUAUGGAUUUUAAAAAAUUUUAGAAUUUUAUGAAAACUUUUAAAAGUUUUAAGAAUUUCUUUUAUAUAUUUUUAAGAAAUUUCGAGUUUUUUUAGUAAAAAAUAACAUAAAAUUCUUAAAAAAAUUCUGAAAAAAUUUAGAAUUUCAAAUAAACCAUUUGUUUAAACUUUAUGGAAAUUUCUAAUUUUUUAAAAAGUUUUACAUGUAAUUUUAACUUUUUAUAAUUUUCAAAAAUAGAUUAUGAUUUUUUUAUUUUUUAUAAUUUUGUUUUUGGACUUUUUUAGGUAGGUUUUUUUUUUUUUUGGAUUUCUAAUGAUUUUUUUUUAGUUUUGUUAUAUUUUUUAAAAAAUUCAAGUGAAUUUUUCACUUUUUCUUCUACAUGGCGGUCAAUGGUUAGUUUAAUUUUUUUUUAAAAAAAUUUGGGUUGGGAUAACAUAGAUUACAAAAUUAAAGUACAGGGCUUAAACUGAUAACAAGAAUAAAGUAUAAGAGCCAAACUAAUAAAAAAUAGUAUAAGUACUAAAGUGAUGAUUUAUCUAUAAUAAAAGGGCCAACAGAGAUACUAAGCCAUAUUAUUUCAAGAAAACCUUAAAUUUUAUUAAAAAAUUAUAUUAAUCAUAUUUAUUAAAUAAAAAUAAUAUUAAAUAAUUAGAAUUAAACCUAUAAAAAUUUAUCAUAUUUAUUAAAUAUACUAUCUAACUCUCGUUAAUUAACAAUAGGGUAAACUACACAUGUAAUCACCUAAUUUUCAUAAGUAUCAUUUUAGGAAGAGUAGUUUGUAUCUCUUUUCAUUUUGAUCAUCUUUCCCAAUAAAAGUUAAUGGAAAUCCCACGUGGAAUUCCAAUUCCUUUUUCUUUCACUCGGAAAUUUUAUAAUUAAUAAAUAAUUUUUAUAAUUUAUACCAAACUUAAUAAAAUCUUUUUUUUUAUUUCACUUAUUUUCUUCAUCCUCAAGAGCAAAAAGAAAAAUCAAUCUCCCAAGCAUCAAAUCUUGGUCGCCUAUUCACCGUCGCCGUCGGUCUUGAAAUGCCGUCAUCAGGCCACGCUUCGACGAUAACCCACUGUCCAAAGCCACCCAAGACAAAGUCUUUCCUUCUUUUCUUCGCUAUUUCUCUUUUUUUUCUCCUUGAGUCAUCAUAGCCACUAUUGCCCCUCUACCCAAAACUGCUACCCCCAUUAAACCUCCGCCAUCAAACACUGCUUAGAAGCUUUUUUAUAAAAAUCAUUCUAAAAUUUUGAAAUAAUUACAAAAAUAAUCCACUUUUUUUUUAUUAUGUACAUAAAUGACCUAAAAUGAAUCGUGAAAGUUGGUAAAACCAAAGAGAUUGAUACCACCAACAUGCCAUGUCAGCCAGUCAGAUUAAAAAAAAUCAAUUUUUCUAAUGGAGCCAUAUAGAAAGGCGCCAUUUGUAUAAAUACAAGAGAAAUAUCAUUAUUUUUCAUUAAUAGAACCAUAAAGAAUGGUACUACCACUUUAAUGUGCCAAUUUUUUUAGAAUCGUUUUUUCUUAUUUAAAAAUAAAAUUGAUAUUUUAUUUGGUGGAGCUAUAGAGAAUGACGCCAUCAAUAUUCUAUGUUAGUUUUUUCUAAAUGUAUUUUUUUAAUUUUAAAUUAAAAUUUAUAUUUUAUUUGGUGAAGUAAUUCUCUUUGGCGUAAUUAAAUGACUAUAUAUAACCUCAAUGGUAGUUCACUCUAAGUUGAAAGAGAGAUGAGUGUUUUUUUAUGUUUGAUUCUUUAUGUUUAUUUAGAAAAUUUUAUAAUUUAAAGGUAUGUCCGACACCGACAAAUUUAAUGAUUAUAUUCGACGACAAUCUCAAGUAAAAUUAGGGGUCUCGGUUGCCAGCUAUUUAUUUGGUAACGGGUUCAAAUUGGUUUUGUAAGUCUUUUCGUUGGCUGUGGUAGGACGAUAAUGGGUUUAAAUUGGUUAUGCAACUAACAAGUGGAUUAUUUGGGAUUCUCUAGGUCAACGGGAUGUUUGAAGGUUUUAAGGAAUCCCAAAUCGAAUUGCACGAGUAAGAUCAUCAAUAUCAGCAGCAUCCGAGCUACAAGAUAAUAGCACCAAAAAACUUGCUCAGUUGACUUGCUCGUGUUGCGGUUAAAUAUUGUAUUUUUCAAUUUGUAAGACACAAUGUUGUUGGUCUUGAACAAAAUCGUUUAAUUAUAUUUUAUCUGUAAGAUAAAAUGUUGUCGACCUUGAACAAAAUCGUUUAAUUAUGUAUUAUUUGUAAGACACACAAUCAUUUAAUUUUUUUUUAGUAUUGAAAAAGUUGCUUGUGUUGUAAAAUUAUAUAUUGUAAGUUAAGUGAAAUUAUUUUGGAAUGUUGCAAAUGUAAAAUUAUCUUUUGUAAAAUAUAAUUUGUGAAUUAUGUAAAUUGAUAGUUAUUUAAAAUGUUGGCAAUAUAAACUAAUUUUCAUUUAAAUUAUUUCUGUAAUGUGAAUUAAUAGUUUGAUAAUGGGCAUUUUUAAAAGAAAUAUAAAAAGAGAGGACCAAAAAAUAAAGAAAGUUUGGUAAAAAAUGAGAAAGAAGAAAAAAAGAAAGUGGGAGAGGGAGUUGGCCGAAAAAAGAAUGAGAAAGGAUUGAUUUUAAAAAAAUAUAUAUAUACUAGGGAAUUUUUAAAAGAAAUUUAAAAAAAAACCAAAAAAAUAAAUAUGAAAAAGCUUAUUGAUUGGUCACAUCGCAUCAACCGCAUUAGCGACGUGACUAGUCAGGAGAGAGGAUAGUUUCUUCUUUUUAAUGUAAAAAAAGAAAGAAAGAAAAUUUUACUUGUUGUUGAAGUCGGCUGGGCUUUUUUUUUUUUAUAAAAAUAACCUUAAAUUUUUGAAUAAAUACAAACAUGACUUUUUUUUAUUAUGUACAUAAAUCCCCGCACGACGGUUGAUGCACUUUGUCAUCUAGAAAGCUUUCAAGUUUUGAGAAUAUAGUUCUACAUUCAUCGACGUCGCCCUUCAAGCGUUGUCUUCCAUGACAUUCUUCACAUGUUCGACGUGCACAUGCCUAACAUCCAUUUGUUUUGUUUGUCUCAACCCCAUUUUUAGCAUAAAGGUUGUCAGUCUAUAAAACAUAGCUAAGAACGCGUAUGCCUCAAGAUGGAAUUAACGACCUUAAUGAGGUUGUCGUCAUAUGACCAUAUCGAUACAUAUCAUCAAAACAUUGAGUCCAUUACCACGACUCCAUGCUACCCAAUCAUUGUUUGAAAGAAAGAUUAAACCCUGCCAUAUCAAUCUCCAACCUCGCCAGCUUAUGUCUGAAUUGAUGCGAUUCCAGUUCGUACCCUACAUAUGUAUUUUGAUAAAACAUGUUACAGUCCUUUUAGUAAAUGGACUCAAAAUAUUUACAAAGACAGUUUUAAUUACAAUAUUUGUACACAUGUUCACGAUUUGUUUGCACCAGUCUUUGUUCUUGUACCAUUGUGGAAGUUGACAGCGUUGUGGCGAAUGCAAUAGACGAACAUCCACGGAACCUUGGAUCGACAGAUCGCAGCAACAAGACCCUUGGAUCUGUUAGAGACAAUGCAAUUGUUGUCUUGCUUGACAACAUGCCUCCGCAAGUUUCUAAUGAAAAAUUCCUACGAUUCGAAGUUCUACAACUCCACGAUGGCGAAAGUGAUCGAUAGUACAUUUCGAUUACCGUCUUCUGCAACUGCAAUCAGUAAUAUCUAUAUGUAUUUUUCAUAAAACCAUGUUCGAUCAACCUGCACAAAGGUUUCAGUGGGAGAAGGCCCUAAUGUCACAAAAGCCACUUUUUGCUGCUUGUAAAGUGUAAAUAAAAUCCCUUAAAUUUUCUAUUAAUUUGACAAGCAGAAGUUCAUGAGCGCGCACACACACAAGAGAAAUGAAAAACCCAAAUUUUUUUCCUAUAGAUUUUCAAAUAAAGCUUGACCCUUGUGUUGAAAAUAUGAUGAAAGUGGACAAAAUAUUACUUAUAGACCACAUAAUUUUAUGUAGCAUAAAUUAAUAAAGUAUUAAACUUUGUAUAAAUAUAUAAUACUUUUAAAAAUAUUUUAAUAUAAAAAUUUAAUAUAAAUAUAUAAGGCGAAUAAUAUACAUGAAAAUGAUACAAAUAGAUAUAAUUAUUCAUAUGUCACUCCACUUCACUUGAAAGGUUUCCCCGCUUCUAUAUAAUUAUACAUAUAUACAAUGUAUAAACAUACACUCCAAUCCACUUAAAAGGCAAGCUUCCCACUUCUAUUCUAUCAUUCUAAACCAUCAAACAAAUUUAAACAUUCCAAUAAAACUAUGAAAACCCACAUAUUUUCUCUGGUUUUCUUCUUGUUUUCAGUAGCCCAAGGAUUGAACCCCAAAUGUGAGACCCAAGACCAAGGUUCAAACUUCCAAGUGUUCCAUAUUUACAGUCCCUGCUCACCCUUCAAGCCUUCAAAGCCACUGUCAUGGGAAGAAGAUGUGCUCCAAACAUAAGCCAAGGACCAAGCCAGGCUCCAAUAUUUGUCAAGCCUGGUGGCUAAGAAACCUGUGGUGCCGAUAGCUUCUGGCAGACAGAUUGUGCAAAGUCCCACUUAUAUCGUGAGGGCCAACAUUGGAACCCCACCUCAAACCUUGCUUAUGGCAUGGAUACUAGCAAUGAUGCCGCUUGGGAUACCUUGCACUGGCUGCCUUGGCUGCUCUUCUACUGUAUUUGACAAUGCUAAAUCCACCACUUUCCAGUCCCUCGGCUGCCAAGCUCCUCAAUGCAAGCAGGUAGCUCCUCAAUGCUAAUUCCAGGUUAGGCGUUGCCUAUGAGCUCUGCACCUAAAUUCCAGCUUUGUUCCCUAAUUUAUU